RNAcentral lists this long non-coding RNA (996 nucleotides) under Homo sapiens (human). RNAcentral's name for it is "HSALNT0123409". Lineage: Eukaryota; Metazoa; Chordata; Mammalia; Primates; Hominidae. The record is from RNAcentral.
AUUGUCUUAAAUGGGUGGGAUCAAUGAAAUCACAAACUUCCUUAUAAGUGAAAGAAGAAGGCAGAAGAAAGGCAACCUUUGAGGUGGUGACAUGAGAAAUUACUCAACAUCACUGACUUUUAAGAUACAAGAAUGAGGACCGAGUGCGGUGGCUCACGCCUAAUCCCAGCACUUUGGGAGGCUAGGGUGGGUUUAUCACGAGGUCAGGAGAUUGAGACCAUCCUGGCAAACAUGGCCAAACCCCAUCCCUACUAAAAAUACAAAAAAUUAACUGGACGUGGUGGCAAGUGUCUGUAGUCCAACCUGCUCAGGAACCUGAGGCAGAAGAAUCACUUGAACCUGGGAGGCAGAGGUUGCAGUGAGAUGAGAUCAUGCCACUGCACUCCAGCCUGGGUGACAGGAGGAGACUCCAUCUCAAAAAAAAAAAAAAAAAGAAAUAUAACAUCUAAGAAUGAGGACAUGUUCCAAAGAAUAAAGGUGGCCUCUGGAUGCUGAAAAAAAUCAAGUAAUAGAUUCUGCCAAAUAGCCCUCAGAAAGACUGCAGCCCUGCCCAAAACUUGAUGUUAGCCCUGUGAGUUUCAUUUAAGGCUUCCGAACUACGAGGAUUAACGGUCACUUUAUUGUAAGAUAUGAAGUUUGUGGUAAUUGGUUACAGCAGCAAGAGGAAGUUCAUAUUGUAAUUGUAUCAUGAAAAUGAGAACCAUAAUUUACAACUGCAUUUAAUACUGCACUUGGAUGUUUGAAAUCACGUACAUGGAAAUGAUCUCUAUGUGCAUGACGGAGGAUAGCAAAUUGAUGCCAAAAUAAUGCAAAUGCAAAUCUUACACUCAUUUCUAUGUAGGUUUCAUUUAAUCUUUGAAAUUAAAAUGAAAUUAAAAGACUGUGAUCUUUUGAUGAAAUUAGACUAAAAUGAACAAUAACAAAAUAAGAACUUACUUAUAUUCUUUAUAUGGUCAAUAAAGAAGUGAUAGUGGAAAAAAACAAGAUCAAAUGAAG